RNAcentral lists this ribosomal RNA (53 nucleotides) under Diaporthe eres. RNAcentral describes it as "partial 28S ribosomal RNA". Lineage: Eukaryota; Fungi; Ascomycota; Sordariomycetes; Diaporthales; Diaporthaceae. The record is from RNAcentral.
AUUUGACCUCGGAUCAGGUAGGAAUACCCGCUGAACUUAAGCAUAUCAAUAGC